This 305-nucleotide ribosomal RNA is filed under the name uncultured bacterium. Its description in RNAcentral is "bacterial SSU rRNA". It matches the Rfam family "Bacterial small subunit ribosomal RNA", at positions 28 to 334 of the family's 1533-position model. The record is from RNAcentral.
GACGAACGCUGGCGGCGUGCCUAACACAUGCAAGUCGAACGGGGUAAUUACUUCGGUGAUUACUUAGUGGCGAACGGGUGAGUAACGCGUGAGAAACCUGCCUUUCAGUGGGGGACAACAGUUGGAAACGACUGCUAAUACCGCAUAAUGUUAUUUGGGGGCAUCCCUGAAUAACCAAAGAUUUAUUGCUGAAAGAUGGUCUCGCGUCUGAUUAGCUAGUUGGUGAGGUAACGGCUCACCAAGGCGACGAUCAGCAGCCGGACUGAGAGGUUGAACGGCCACAUUGGGACUGAGACACGGCCCAG